This 440-nucleotide ribosomal RNA is filed under the name uncultured bacterium. Its description in RNAcentral is "partial 16S ribosomal RNA". It matches the Rfam family "Bacterial small subunit ribosomal RNA", at positions 338 to 795 of the family's 1533-position model. The record is from RNAcentral.
CCUACGGGAUGCAGCAGUGGGGGAUAUUGCACAAUGGGGGAAACCCUGAUGCAGCGACGCCGCGUGAGCGAUGAAGUAUCUCGGUAUGUAAAGCUCUAUCAGCAGGGAAGAAAAUGACGGUACCUGACGAAGAAGCCCCGGCUAACUACGUGCCAGCAGCCGCGGUAAUACGUAGGGGGCAAGCGUUAUCCGGAUUUACUGGGUGUAAAGGGGGCGUAGACGGCGGUGCAAGCCAGAUGUGAAAGCCCGGGGCCCAACCCCGGGACUGCAUUUGGAACUGGGCUGCUGGAGUGUCGGAGGGGCAGGCGGAAUUCCUGGUGUAGCGGUGAAAUGCGUAGAUAUUAGGAGGAACACCAGUGGCGAAGGCGGCCUGCUGGACGAUGACUGACGUUGAGGCUCGAAAGCGUGGGGAGCAAACAGGAUUAGAUACCCGUGUAGUC